CCUGGGUACCGUAGCUAACGCGUGAAGUGAUCCGCCUGGGGAGUACGGCCGCAAGGUUAAAACUCAAAGGAAUUGACGGGGACCCGCACAAGCGGUGGAUGAUGUGGAUUAAUUCGAUGCAACGCGAACAACCUUACCUACCCUUGACAUGUCCGGAACCCUGCUGAGAGGUGGGGGUGCCCGAAAGGGAAUCGGAACACAGGUGCUGCAUGGCUGUCGUCAGCUCGUGUCGUGAGAUGUUGGGUUAAGUCCCGCAACGAGCGCAACCCUUGUCCCUAGUUGCUACGCAAGGGCACUCUAGGGAGACUGCCGGUGACAAACCGGAGGAAGGUGGGGAUGACGUCAAGUCCUCAUGGCCCUUAUGGGUAGGGCUUCACACGUCAUACAAUGGGCGGUACAGAGGGUUGCCAACCCGCGAGGGGGAGCCAAUCCCAGAAGGCCGUUCGUAGUCCGGAUUGCAGUCUGCAACUCGACUGCAUGAAGUCGGAAUCGCUAGUAAUCGCGGAUCAGCAUGUCGCGGUGAAUACGUUCCCGGGUCUUGUACACACCGCCCGUCACACCAUGGGAGCGGGAUGUACCAGAAGCAGCUAGCCUAACCGCAAGGGGGGCGGUUGCCACGGUGCGUUUCGUGACUGGGGUGAAGUCGUAACAAGGUAGCCG
RNAcentral lists this ribosomal RNA (660 nucleotides) under uncultured bacterium. RNAcentral describes it as "bacterial SSU rRNA". It matches the Rfam family "Bacterial small subunit ribosomal RNA", at positions 838 to 1502 of the family's 1533-position model. The record is from RNAcentral.